This 467-nucleotide ribosomal RNA is filed under the name uncultured bacterium. RNAcentral describes it as "partial 16S ribosomal RNA". It matches the Rfam family "Bacterial small subunit ribosomal RNA", at positions 28 to 507 of the family's 1533-position model. The record is from RNAcentral.
GACGAACGCUGGCGGCGUGCUUAACACAUGCAAGUCGAACGGAAGGCCCUGCCUUUGUGGGGUGCUCGAGUUGCGAACGGGUGAGUAACACGUGAGUAACCUUCCCUUGACUUUGGGAUAACUUCAGGAAACUUGGGCUAAUACCGGAUAGGAGCUCCUGCCGCCUGGUGGGGGUUGGAAAGUUUCGGCGGUUGGGGAUGGACUCGCGGCUUAUCAGCUUGUUGGUGGGGUAGUGGCUUACCAAGGCUUUGACGGGUAGCCGGCCUGAGAGGGUGACCGGCCACAUUGGGACUGAGAUACGGCCCAGACUCCUACGGGAGGCAGCAGUGGGGAAUAUUGCACAAUGGGCGGAAGCCUGAUGCAGCAACGCCGCGUGCGGGAUGACGGCCUUCGGGUUGUAAACCGCUUUCGCCUGUGACGAAGCGUGAGUGACGGUAAUGGGUAAAGAAGCACCGGCUAACUACGUG